GCGCCCCAGGGCCUGCGGGGGGCGCCGGACGGGAGCGCGACGGAAGGGGCUGAGAGAGCAAGAAGACCCCCAAAAAAUGUUAACAGUUAGUCAAAAAUUAAUUUUCAUCCUUUGCAUUUACGGCGGAACCUCAAUGUAAUGGACCCCGAUUUAACAGACUUUGGAUUCUGUUGCAGCCACAUGGCCCACACCGGCUAUAUCGCGCAGCUGACCAUCUUGCCUGACACACCACGUUUUGAUUCUGACAGAAGCUGCGCUGACAUAAAUCCAGAGAGUUGGAGUCAAAGCUGCGAAUGACAAGGCAUCAAGCAAGAAGAGUGGCAGGAUGGUGCAAAACAAGGCAGCAUUGGUGAAUCCACGUCAGUACGCUCAUCAAGAAGCUUGGUGAUUUCAAGUGGGACUUUGUGUGAUUUUACACACGCACAGAAACACAUGUUAAAGUCACUAGUGUUAAGCCUGUCCAAUGCUGUUAGACUUUCAAUAAAAAAAAAAAAAAUUUAAAGUUUGAAAAAGAAUUACUACUUCUUACUAGAAUUAAAAAAAUUGAAUAUCAUGGAAAUGUCAUGAACAGAACAGAGGAUAGGACCAAAAAAAUACACGACUCCAAAACAAAUGGACAGUUUUAAAAAAGAAAGGUUCAAUAUACGGGCAGAGGUCGGUACACAGGCAGGCAAUCCAAAAAAGGCAACAGUAUCCAAAAACGUGAGGCAAAAAGGCAAGGUCGAUAAUCGGAACAGGGUCUAGUCUUACUGUGAGUCGGUGACGUGGAAACAAGGUAUGCUGGAACGCGACGACAAGGUACAACGAACUGGCGACGAGAAAGAAUGAGACACGAGGUUAAAUGCAAGGGGUAAUUAGGGUGAAUGAGGCACAGGUGGUGAAGAUGCUCACAGGAGCAGGUGUGUGUGAAACAGGGGGGAAGACAAAACCCGGAACACACACCUAUGACAGGAAAAGUUUAUUUAUUUCUAUAAUUCCAUUGAAAAAGUUACACUUUCAUAGAUUAUAGAUUCAGGGCCCACAAUUUAAACAAUUUCAAGUAUUUAUUUGUUUAUUUUUGCAUAAUUUGGACGUCCAGGUCAUGAAACCCACAAAAUCAGGAAUUCAAAAAAUUUUAAUACACUGAAGAAAUAAGCCCAAAUUUUGUAGGCCAUAAUUUUUUUAAACUGAGUGUCACACACUAAUCAUCUACUAAACUCAAAGAACCUGCACAGGUUUCCCCAGGUGUCAUUAAAUUACUUCAGAUGGGUUCAAUAUGGGGAAGACUGCACACUUGACAACUGGCCAGAAGACCAUCAUUGAGACCUUCCAUAGGAUGGGUAAGACACAAACGUUCAUACCUAAGGAGGCUGGCUGUUCACAGAGUGCUGUGUCCAAUCAUAUCAAUGGAAAGUCUAGUGGAAGGACAAAAAUGUGGCAGGAGAAGAUGCACCAGCAAAAGAGAUGACUGUGGGCUUCAGCGGAUUAUCAAACAGAGAAGAUUCAAUAAUCUAACAGAGAUUCAGAAAGAGUGUAAUGAGGCGCGAGUCACAGCUUCAAACCCCACCACAUUCAGACGCAUUCGGGAGAUAGGCGACAACUGUCGGAUUCCUCGGGUCAAGCCACUUCUGAUCCUGAGCCAACGUAGGAAGUGUCUCACCUGGGCCAAAGAGAAGAAGGACUGGACUCUUGGCCAGUGGUCCAAGGUCCUCUUUUCCGAUGAAAGUAAAAUGUGCCUUUCAUUCGGGAAUCAAGAUCCAAGGGUUUGGAGGAAGACGGGUGAAGAACAGAACCCAAGCUGCUUGAGGUCCAGUGUGAAAUAUCCACAGUCAGUCAUUAUUUGGUGCAAUGUCCAGUGCAGGUGUUGGUAAAUUCUGCUUUCUUAAAUCCAAGGUCACCGCAACAAUCUACCAGAAUGUUUUUGAGGAUUUCAUGAUUCCUUCUGCUGAGGAUCUGUUUGGAGAUGCAGAUUUCAUCUUCCAGCAGGACCUGGCCGCUGCCCAUACCGCCAGAAGCACCAAAACCUACUUUGAUGCCCAUGCCAUCACAGUGCUUGACUGGCUGGCCAACUCGUCGGCUCUAAACCCCAUUGAGAAUCUAUGGGGUAUUAUCAAGAGGAAAAUGAUGGGCACCAGACCCAAAAACAAAGAACUGACAGCAUCAAGGAAAUCUGGGCUUCCAUAACUCCUGGUUGUUUGUUUGUAUGUGCCCUGCGAUUGGCUGGCAACCAGUUCAGGGUGUACCCCGCCUGCUGCCCGGUGAUAGCUGGGAUAGGCUCCAGCACGCCCGCGACCCUAGUGAGGAGAAGCGGCUCAGAAAAUGGACGGAUGAUUUCUUCACAGUAUUCUAAUUUUUUGAAUUCCUGGUUUUGUGGGUUUUAUGAGAUGGAAGCCCAAAUUAUGUAAAAAUAAACAAAUAAAUACU
Phyllopteryx taeniolatus (common seadragon) is the source of this 2403-nucleotide long non-coding RNA. RefSeq lists it as uncharacterized. NCBI's taxonomy places the organism in Eukaryota, Metazoa, Chordata, Actinopteri, Syngnathiformes, Syngnathidae. The transcript is spliced from 3 exons. The record is from RefSeq and is a predicted model, not a curated record.